UACGUAGGGGGCAAGCGUUGUCCGGAUUUAUUGGGCGUAAAGAGCGUGUAGGCGGCCAGACAAGUCCGUUGUGAAAACUAGAGGCUUAACCUCUAGACGUCGAUGGAAACUGUUUGGCUAGAGUCCGGAAGAGGAGAAUGGAAUUCCUGGUGUAGCGGUGAAAUGCGCAGAUAUCAGGAAGAACACCCGUGGCUAAGGCG
This 200-nucleotide ribosomal RNA is filed under the name uncultured bacterium. Its description in RNAcentral is "partial 16S ribosomal RNA". It matches the Rfam family "Bacterial small subunit ribosomal RNA", at positions 524 to 723 of the family's 1533-position model. The record is from RNAcentral.